RNAcentral lists this ribosomal RNA (468 nucleotides) under uncultured bacterium. RNAcentral's name for it is "partial 16S ribosomal RNA". It matches the Rfam family "Bacterial small subunit ribosomal RNA", at positions 28 to 507 of the family's 1533-position model. The record is from RNAcentral.
GACGAACGCUGGCGGCGUGCUUAACACAUGCAAGUCGAACGGAAAGGCCCUGCUUUUGUGGGUUGCUCGAGUGGCGAACGGGUGUGUAACACGUGAGUAUCCCGCCCUUGACUUUGGGAUAACUCCAGGAUACUGGGGCUAAUACCGGAUAGGAGCUCCUGCUGCAUGGUGGGGGUUGGAAAGUUUCGGCGGUUGGGGAUGGACUGGCGGCUUAUCAGCUUGUUGGUGGGGUAGUGGCUUACCAAGGCUUUGACGGGUAGCCGGCCUGAGAGGGUGACCGGCCACAUUGGGACUGAGAGACGGCCCAGACUCCUACGGGAGGCAGCAGGGGGGAAUAUUGCACAAUGGGCGGAAGCCUGAUGCAGCAACGCCGCGUGCGGGAUGACGGCCUUCGGGUUGUAAACCGCGUUCGCCUGUAACGAAGCGUGAGUGACGGUAAUGGGUAAAGAAGCACCGGCUAACUACGUG